UGGCGAUGAGGAAAGAAGGCGAGGAAACGGUGAAAAAAUGAUUGUUAGAGGAAAUGGCGUACUACACGUGAGAAUCGAGCACUAUCUUUUUCAAGGAAGAGAGUGCGGGCGGGCAUUUAUCUCGCGGAAAAAAUGAUACUUGCAAGUAAACGGGAAGAACUGAGAGCAGGGUUUUUGUCGAAGACGUCAGGGGCUUUCAGGGGCUUUUUUGACUGUGUUGAAACUUCUCUUCAUCAUUCUACCACUAAUAGCUGCAAAACUUCUGAGCAAAUUCACCAAUUAAGAUUGUCAGAAGUGCUUGAGUGACUGUGAAGUCAAUGCUUGUGACCAGAGAAAAAUCGAUUACAAUACCAGGAGGG
Molecule: long non-coding RNA, 359 nt
Organism: Stylophora pistillata
Lineage: Eukaryota; Metazoa; Cnidaria; Anthozoa; Scleractinia; Pocilloporidae
Source: RefSeq, a predicted model, not a curated record